UCAGUAACGGCGAGUGAAGCGGUAACAGCUCAAAUUUGAAAUCUGGCCUCACGGUCCGAGUUGUAAUUUGUAGAGGAUGCUUCGAGCAUGGUCUGGCCUAAGUUCCUUGGAACAGGACGUCAUAGAGGGUGAGAAUCCCGUAUGCGGCCAGGUGCCUACGCUCAUGUGAAGCUCCUUCGACGAGUCGAGUUGUUUGGGAAUGCAGCUCAAAAUGGGUGGUAAAUUUCAUCUAAAGCUAAAUAUUGGCCAGAGACCGAUAGCGCACAAGUAGAGUGAUCGAAAGAUGAAAAGCACUUUGGAAAGAGAGUUAAACAGUACGUGAAAUUGUUGAAAGGGAAGCGCUUGCAACCAGACUUGCGCGCGGCCGAUCAUCCGGUGUUCUCACCGGUGCACUCGGCCGUGCUCAGGCCAGCAUCGGUUUUGGCGGCUGGAUAAAGGCCCUAGGAAUGUGGCUCCUCUCGGGGAGUGUUAUAGCCUAGGGUGCAAUGCAGCCUGCUGGGACCGAGGACCGCGCUUCGGCUAGGAUGCUGGCGUAAUGGUUGUAAGCGGCCCGUCUUGAAACACGGACCAAGGAGUCUAACAUCUAUGCGAGUGUUUGGGUGUCAAACCCAUACGCGUAAUGAAAGUGAACGGAGGUGAGAACCCUUAAGGGUGCAUCAUCGACCGAUCCUGAUGUCUUCGGAAGGAUUUGAGUAAGAGCAUAGCUGUUGGGACCCGAAAG
Molecule: ribosomal RNA, 721 nt
Filed under: Pseudogymnoascus sp.
Lineage: Eukaryota; Fungi; Ascomycota; Leotiomycetes; Thelebolales; Thelebolaceae
Description: partial large subunit ribosomal RNA
Rfam family: Eukaryotic large subunit ribosomal RNA
Source: RNAcentral